GAAGCGGCAGCCACUUUUCUUUCUGCUUAUCUUGGGUGAUGAGUUUAAUGUUCAGUGAAACUGAAAAGACCGUGGCCUUGGUGGCCUCAGCUAUUUUUCUCGAGCCCUAGGUCCCCUGGGGUGGACCGUGGCUUGGCUUUUAUGCCUCCCUUCCCGGGCUGUGCCACUUUUGCAUGGCCUAGGAAGGGAGAGUGUCUCGGUGGCUGCUCAGGAUGGAGGCUCUUGGGCUGUGUCUGGCCUGAGGUUGCGCUUGCUGACCGUGCAGUGACUAGCAGCCCUGGGAGGUGGUGUUGGGGCCUGGGAGGCCUCCUUCCCUGGCCGUGCCUGGGGCCAGGGUGCUCUUAGGAGACGCUGGACCCCUGCCUACUGGGAGGCAGAGGGAUCAACAACACGACCUUCCAAGCACCUUCCUCUCCAAGGACCACAGGACAGGGGUAGCUACCAAACAAGAGCCUGAGUUUGAGAGGAUUUAAACGACGGGGGCAGCCACUGAGGGGCAACUGCAUGGAGCCCAACAGAGACCUAGGAUCCUUUUCUCAGGACAAGAAGCAGGAGAGGGCUUGGCCCCACUCACCCACAGUCUCGGGAUCCCAGCCCCAGUCUGAGGGCGUAGAGAACAGGAGGGAAGGGUGCUGUACAUUCUGAUGAGGUUCUUCUCCGGAUCUCCUGCCCAGAAAAGGAUAAAUAUUUCUGAUCUAUAGCAAAUGUGUUUUCCUUUAGCUAACAUCUUGGCAGGAUCUGGAGAAGAAUCGCAGUCCAUGAAAUCUGCAUCUCUUGAAAGAAAAACCCAGAAGGCCACCUCCCUAUCAAAGGCAGAAUGAACCCAGUUUGGAAACGUGUUUAAAAUGCACGGGGGAGUGGCAACCAUCCUAAAUUACCCCGCUAGCCCUCCCGAGAUGGGCAGGAGAGGCCGGCGGGUGGCCUGCUGAGCCUGGGAGGCAGAGACGGGGAGUGAAGCCACAUGGCCCCAUGGGGCCAUCCAGCACUGCAGAGGUCUCAGCAGCAUCCCGCCCCCGACAGGUGCCACGUGACCCCCAAGCUGAACACAGAGCACACACCCACAAGACUACAAAAUCUCCCAACAGCCUCAUUUCAUAGAACUGCAUUUCGCUGACUUCUGUAGGAUGCGUGGCCAGGGAACCCUUUGAGGGAAUCCUCGAGAAGGUGCCCUGAGUUUACAGAGUGGGCAAUGUCCCCUCAAGGACAAACUCUUCCGCUGACCCCCCCCCCCC
RNAcentral lists this long non-coding RNA (1232 nucleotides) under Homo sapiens (human). RNAcentral describes it as "HSALNT0001188". The record is from RNAcentral. Lineage: Eukaryota; Metazoa; Chordata; Mammalia; Primates; Hominidae.